RNAcentral lists this ribosomal RNA (475 nucleotides) under Flavobacterium sp. DB4.2-3. Its description in RNAcentral is "bacterial SSU rRNA". It matches the Rfam family "Bacterial small subunit ribosomal RNA", at positions 13 to 489 of the family's 1533-position model. Lineage: Bacteria; Pseudomonadati; Bacteroidota; Flavobacteriia; Flavobacteriales; Flavobacteriaceae. The record is from RNAcentral.
UUGAUCCUGGCUCAGGAUGAACGCUAGCGGCAGGCUUAACACAUGCAAGUCGAGGGGUAUAUUUCUUCGGAGAUAGAGACCGGCGCACGGGUGCGUAACGCGUAUGCAAUCUGCCUUUCACAGAGGGAUAGCCCAGAGAAAUUUGGAUUAAUACCUCAUAGUAUUAUAGGAUGGCAUCAUUUUAUAAUUAAAGUCACAACGGUGAAAGAUGAGCAUGCGUCCCAUUAGCUAGUUGGUAAGGUAACGGCUUACCAAGGCAACGAUGGGUAGGGGUCCUGAGAGGGAGAUCCCCCACACUGGUACUGAGACACGGACCAGACUCCUACGGGAGGCAGCAGUGAGGAAUAUUGGACAAUGGGCGCAAGCCUGAUCCAGCCAUGCCGCGUGCAGGAUGACGGUCCUAUGGAUUGUAAACUGCUUUUGUACGAGAAGAAACACUGAUUCGUGAAUCAGCUUGACGGUAUCGUAAGAAUAA